AAACCAUACAUUGGACAUUUACGCAGCAAAUCCUUGAAACGCUCCAAAGCUUCAUAUAAGUUCUCAUCCUCCAACUACUUGAAUGAUGUGAGAUCAUUCCUCAGCUU
Small nucleolar RNA from Hibiscus syriacus, 107 nucleotides. The record is from RefSeq and is a predicted model, not a curated record. Lineage: Eukaryota; Viridiplantae; Streptophyta; Magnoliopsida; Malvales; Malvaceae.